This 433-nucleotide ribosomal RNA is filed under the name uncultured bacterium. RNAcentral describes it as "partial 16S ribosomal RNA". It matches the Rfam family "Bacterial small subunit ribosomal RNA", at positions 29 to 507 of the family's 1533-position model. The record is from RNAcentral.
AACGAACGCUGGCGGCAGGCCUAACACAUGCAAGUCGAGCGAGGACCUCGGUCCUAGCGGCGGACGGGUGAGUAACGCGUGGGAACGUGCCCUUUGCUUCGGAAUAGCCCUGGGAAACUGGGAGUAAUACCGGAUGAGCCCUUUGGGGGAAAGAUUUAUCGGCGAAGGAUCGGCCCGCGUUGGAUUAGGUAGUUGGUGGGGUAAUGGCCUACCAAGCCGACGAUCCAUAGCUGGUUUGAGAGGAUGAUCAGCCACACUGGGACUGAGACACGGCCCAGACUCCUACGGGAGGCAGCAGUGGGGAAUCUUAGACAAUGGGGGAAACCCUGAUCUAGCCAUGCCGCGUGAGCGAUGAAGGCCUUAGGGUUGUAAAGCUCUUUCAGCUGGGAAGAUAAUGACGGUACCAGCAGAAGAAGCCCCGGCUAACUCCGUG